UACAGAGGUCUCAAGCGUUGUUCGGAUUCAUUGGGCGUAAAGGGUGCGUAGGUGGCGUGGUAAGUCGGAUGUGAAAUCCCGGGGCUCAACCCCGGAACUGCAUUCGAUACUGCCUUGCUAGAGUACCUGGAGAGGAGAUUGGGAAUUUACGGUGUAGCAGUGAAAUGCGUAGAUAUCGUAAGGAAGACCCAGUGGCGAAGGCGGAUCUCUGGACAGUUACUGACACUGAGGCACGAAGGCCAGGGGAGCA
RNAcentral lists this ribosomal RNA (250 nucleotides) under uncultured bacterium. RNAcentral describes it as "partial 16S ribosomal RNA". It matches the Rfam family "Bacterial small subunit ribosomal RNA", at positions 524 to 770 of the family's 1533-position model. The record is from RNAcentral.